This is a long non-coding RNA of Numida meleagris (helmeted guineafowl), 1640 nucleotides long. Lineage: Eukaryota; Metazoa; Chordata; Aves; Galliformes; Numididae. The record is from Ensembl.
UCCUUGCUGCUCUGAUUGAGAUUCCAGGUGCCAGUUCUGGGGAGGACAGGCUCUGUUCAGGACAUCAGCACCAACAGAGAUGUCUUUUAAAGAAGAAACUGUUGCUGAAGCUGUGGCGGCAGGAGGGUGUCUUGUGGAUGAAGAGGACAAUCCUGUAUGGUGGGUGAUGGAGUCAGCAGGUUGGGCAUCAAUAGUGGCACCUUCCUGCUGCCACAAAGAGUCUCUGUAGCAAGGUAGUUGUCUAGAGGUAACUGAAACUCUGUUGCCUUCACAUCAUAGAAUGGCUUGGGUUGGAAGAGACCUCAAGGAUCAUCAAGUUCCAACCCCCCCAUAUCCACACACCGUUGGCCCUGGUCACAGGUUUUUACUUGUUUGGUGGCACAAGAGAUGUGACGAAAAACCAGAGCUACAGAUUCCCUUUCCUCCCUGUUGGCAACACUGCUAUCCCAUCACAUGGGCAUUAUUUGCUGUCCUCUUUCCUUUCUGGCUGUUCCCCAUAACAGCACUGCCUGCUCUCUCAUGCUGUGUUUCCUCCUUUUCAGGACUCUCCAUGGGUUGCUCCAGGCCAAGUUCUCUGUCUUGCUUUACUCCUGGCCAUCUCGCUCACCUGCCACAGAGCUUGACUCUGGCUGAUUUGUGAUACUUCAGGCACUUCACAUGAAAACAGAAGAGAACCAGUGUAGGAGGGAAGCUAUUCAGCAUCAAGAUUUGGAUGCUUUUCUGGAAUGACAUACUUGACUUCAGUGGCAUCAACAACAGCUAAAAUUCAGGUAUGUGCAGCUUAAUUAUUUUCCCUGAGGGUUUGGAUUUAGAGGCAUUCUUAUGGCUUUAUGAAAGACAGUAGAGGGAAAAAAAGAGGGGUUGUUGAGCCAUCUUGUGCAAAAAAAUGUACUAACAAUUCAAAUUGGUUUACACAUUUGUUUCUUACCAGAUUCUCUUUUCUUUUCAACUCAAAAGAUGUAGUCAUUAAACAUCACUUUGCAACACUUCAUUUCCAUUUCCUUGCUUGAAACUUUUUCUGUUUUUAACUACUAUGUGCCUUUUUCACUGCUUUGCCACUUCUUUGCAUCCCUUCUUUUCUGUGGAUUUUGUCUCUACUUCAUAAGAAGAGAACUGGAAUAUCUAUAAAAUUGCAAAUUCAGCACUGACAGACACAGAUCCUCCACUUUAUUUGGGUUCUUCUGUAAUUUGUUACCUAUUUCCCCCAAGUAUAUCUGGAUGAGGAUAACAGCUGUAAGCAUGUAAUGCAUGGCAGCCUCUUUCUCCUCCAACCCUGUCCUCAUACCUGUGACAUUGCUUAUGGUCCAACCUUGCUCCCCUCAUACUGUUUCAAUUUUAUCUGCUCCCUUUCACUGCUGUCUCUUGCUCUCUGUGGCAGCUGAGCUGGAUAUUCUCUGCUGUCACGCAAAAUCGCAGGGCCCAGCACUGGUGACACCAUCCUCCUCUGACCAUGAGCUUUGCCUGUUUUCAAGGUGCCCAGUUCCCUUCUUGCUCUGGUCUUCCUGAAAUAGCAUUAAAGCCAUAUCCCCUCCCCCUGCUGUUGCUGCAUGAUGCAUUCCUUCUUUGAAAGAGAAUUCUGAACUCAAAACUCCUGUACGUCUUUCAGCUCAGUGGUGCCAAAACUCAGCCAGCAACUGGAG